RNAcentral lists this ribosomal RNA (473 nucleotides) under Flavobacterium sp. DB2.3-10. RNAcentral's name for it is "bacterial SSU rRNA". It matches the Rfam family "Bacterial small subunit ribosomal RNA", at positions 13 to 487 of the family's 1533-position model. The record is from RNAcentral. Lineage: Bacteria; Pseudomonadati; Bacteroidota; Flavobacteriia; Flavobacteriales; Flavobacteriaceae.
UUGAUCCUGGCUCAGGAUGAACGCUAGCGGCAGGCUUAACACAUGCAAGUCGAGGGGUAUGCUUCUUCGGAAGCAGAGACCGGCGCACGGGUGCGUAACGCGUAUGCAAUCUACCUUUUACAGAGGGAUAGCCCAGAGAAAUUUGGAUUAAUACCUCAUAGCAUAGCAACUUCGCAUGAAGUCACUAUUAAAGUCACAACGGUAAAAGAUGAGCAUGCGUCCCAUUAGCUAGUUGGUAAGGUAACGGCUUACCAAGGCUACGAUGGGUAGGGGUCCUGAGAGGGAGAUCCCCCACACUGGUACUGAGACACGGACCAGACUCCUACGGGAGGCAGCAGUGAGGAAUAUUGGACAAUGGGCGCAAGCCUGAUCCAGCCAUGCCGCGUGCAGGAUGACGGUCCUAUGGAUUGUAAACUGCUUUUAUACAGGAAGAAACCCUGGUUCGUGAACCAGCUUGACGGUAUCGUAAGAAU